This is a long non-coding RNA of Phyllostomus discolor (pale spear-nosed bat), 975 nucleotides long. RefSeq lists it as uncharacterized. The transcript has 2 exons. NCBI's taxonomy places the organism in Eukaryota, Metazoa, Chordata, Mammalia, Chiroptera, Phyllostomidae. The record is from RefSeq and is a predicted model, not a curated record.
CCGCGGCUGCACCGCUGCACGGCUAGGGUGGGGAAAGGCUGCUGCUGUUUUCGGUACGGCCUCGUCCGCCGCCUUUCCGUGAUACCCGGUCCUCUGACUCCCAUAUACCUGUUGGGCCACCUUGAAUGAUCUCAAGGCCAGAAGUUCGUAUGGCCCAGACACCUGAGGGAGGCAGUGUGGUGUGAAGGACUUGGACUCCGGCUGCAGAUAAAUGCUCGAAUCCCACCUAUGUAAUUUAACCAGCUGUCUGGCCUCGGGCAAGCCACGUAACUUCUCAGCAUCCCAGUUUCUUUAUCUGAAAUCAAAAGAGAGCAGUGCCCAAAUAAAAAGGCUAAAGUUCAGCAAGAACUUCAGCCUUGGAGCGAACCGCUCACCUCCUGCUACUUACCAACUGUGUCACCUUGGAAAUUUUUAGUAUGAUCUUGAGACCCUCCCCAAUCACUUCUCAUCUCACUAAGCAUAAAAGCCAAAGUCUUUAUAGUGGCCCACAAACCCCUCUGUUCUGCUCUCUACUGCUUCUAUGACCUCAUUUACCAUUCUCCUUCUUACUCCUACUCUGUCUAUUCUGGCCAAUACCAGGGCCUUUGCACAUUGUGCCCUGUAAGGUUCUGGUUCUCCUAGAUACCCACAUGGUUCCUGCCCUCAGUGCCCCAGUUCUCUGUUCACAUGUCACAUUGUCAGAGAGGUGUUCCUUGGCCUUCCUGUUUGAAAUAGCAACAACACCUCCAUCCACCAUAGUAAUCUAUCUGCUUUCCUUCUAACUCUCUAUGAGGUCUCCUUCGCUGCAUUUUUUCCAUAGCACUUAACACCAUCUGCCACACUAUGUGUUUGUUUAUUUAUUCACUCCCUCUUCUCCCUACAGAUUUUUAUCUGCUUCGUUCACUUGUAUUUCCAAUACCUAAAACAGUUACUGGUACAUAAAAAAAUUCUAUGAAUAUUUGAUGAAUAAAUGAAUACAUUAUCCAUGUGAAUUAC